AGAAGAAAGCAAUGCUAACAAAGAAAAAACGAAAAGAAGAACAACCAGAAGAAAACACUGCUUGUUGUCUCCCCAUUAUGAUCUGUAUCAGCUUUUUUGGUUUUUGUGCUUCAGUAUU
Molecule: non-coding RNA, 118 nt
Filed under: Azadinium spinosum
Lineage: Eukaryota; Dinophyceae; Gonyaulacales; Amphidomataceae
Source: RNAcentral